Molecule: ribosomal RNA, 253 nt
Filed under: uncultured bacterium
Lineage: Bacteria
Description: partial 16S ribosomal RNA
Rfam family: Bacterial small subunit ribosomal RNA
Source: RNAcentral
UACGUAGGGUCCGAGCGUUGUCCGGAAUUACUGGGCGUAAAGAGCUCGUAGGUGGUUUGUCGCGUUGUUCGUGAAAACUCACAGCUCAACUGUGGGCGUGCGGGCGAUACGGGCAGACUAGAGUACUGCAGGGGAGACUGGAAUUCCUGGUGUAGCGGUGGAAUGCGCAGAUAUCAGGAGGAACACCGGUGGCGAAGGCGGGUCUCUGGGCCACUACUGACGCUGAGAAGCGAAAGCAUGGGGAGCGAACAGG